Molecule: transfer RNA, 69 nt
Filed under: Rattus norvegicus (Norway rat)
Lineage: Eukaryota; Metazoa; Chordata; Mammalia; Rodentia; Muridae
Rfam family: tRNA
About the family: Transfer RNA (tRNA) molecules are approximately 80 nucleotides in length. Their secondary structure includes four short double-helical elements and three loops (D, anti-codon, and T loops). Further hydrogen bonds mediate the characteristic L-shaped molecular structure. tRNAs have two regions of fundamental functional importance: the anti-codon, which is responsible for specific mRNA codon recognition, and the 3' end, to which the tRNAs corresponding amino acid is attached (by aminoacyl-tRNA synthetases). tRNAs cope with the degeneracy of the genetic code in two manners: having more than one tRNA (with a specific anti-codon) for a particular amino acid; and 'wobble' base-pairing, i.e. permitting non-standard base-pairing at the 3rd anti-codon position.
Source: Rfam by way of RNAcentral
GGGGAUUUGGCUCAGUGGUAGAGCACUUGCCUAGCAAGCACAAGGCCCUGGGUUCAAUCCCCAGCUCCG